This 237-nucleotide long non-coding RNA is filed under the name Anas platyrhynchos platyrhynchos (common mallard). RNAcentral's name for it is "lncRNA (ENSAPLG00000021327.1)". Lineage: Eukaryota; Metazoa; Chordata; Aves; Anseriformes; Anatidae. The record is from RNAcentral.
UGGCAGGAUACAUGUGACCUGCUGACAGGCUGUGCACAUAUUUUAUUUGAUUCCAGGAGCAAGGAGUCCAAUUCUCCAGGGUUUAUGAAGAAUUGCUGUAAAUGUCACUUACAGAAUGAAAAAAAGACAGUCUUGGAAGAGUACUAGAUCACUGAAGAAGAGGAAGCAUUCAUGUUUACCCAUACUAAGCAGAAACAGGUAUUAUUAAUCAAUAAAAAACACUUGUCUUAAAAAACA